RNAcentral lists this ribosomal RNA (253 nucleotides) under uncultured bacterium. Its description in RNAcentral is "partial 16S ribosomal RNA". It matches the Rfam family "Bacterial small subunit ribosomal RNA", at positions 524 to 776 of the family's 1533-position model. The record is from RNAcentral.
UACGAGUGCCCCAAGCGUUAUCCGGAAUCAUUGGGCGUAAAGGGUGUGUAGGCGGUUGUGUUAGUCUUUUGUUAAAUUCUUCGGCUUAACCGGGGGCAUGCGAAGGAAACGGCACAACUAGAGGAUGCGAGAGGUGAAUGGAACUCAUGGAGUAGGGGUGAAAUCCGUUGAUAUCAUGGGGAACACCAAAUGCGAAGGCAAUUCACUGGCGCACUCCUGACGCUGAGACACGAAAGCGUAGGUAGCGAAUGGG